RNAcentral lists this ribosomal RNA (253 nucleotides) under uncultured bacterium. Its description in RNAcentral is "partial 16S ribosomal RNA". It matches the Rfam family "Bacterial small subunit ribosomal RNA", at positions 524 to 776 of the family's 1533-position model. The record is from RNAcentral.
UACAGAGGGUGCAAGCGUUAAUCGGAAUUACUGGGCGUAAAGCGUGUGUAGGUGGUUGGAUAAGUUAGAUGUGAAAUCCCCGGGCUUAACCUGGGCAUUGCGUUUAAGACUGUUCAACUAGAGUACUGUAGAGGAUAGUGGAAUUUCCAGUGUAGCGGUGAAAUGCGUAGAUAUUGGAAGGAACACCAGUGGCGAAGGCGACUAUCUGGAUAGAUACUGACACUGAGACACGAAAGCGUGGGGAGCAAACAGG